This 230-nucleotide ribosomal RNA is filed under the name uncultured bacterium. RNAcentral's name for it is "partial 16S ribosomal RNA". It matches the Rfam family "Bacterial small subunit ribosomal RNA", at positions 96 to 334 of the family's 1533-position model. The record is from RNAcentral.
CCGCGAACGGGUGAGUAACACGUGGGUUAUCUGCCUCGAUGACCGGGACAACCCGAGGAAACUCGGGCUAAUACCGGAUGUGCCCGCAAGGGGAAAGGAAGCUUCGGCCUCCGCAUCGAGAUGAGCCCGCGGCCCAUUAGCUUGUUGGUGAGGUAACGGCUCACCAAGGCUUUGAUGGGUAGCUGGUCUGAGAGGACGAUCAGCCACACUGGGACUGAGACACGGCCCAG